CAGCAGCCGCGGUAAUACGAAGGGGGCUAGCGUUGCUCGGAAUCACUGGGCGUAAAGCGCACGUAGGCGGAUACUUAAGUCAGGGGUGAAAUCCCGGGGCUCAACCUCGGAACUGCCUUUGAUACUGGGUAUCUUGAGUCCGGGAGAGGUUGGUGGAACUCCGAGUGUAGAGGUGAAAUUCGUAGAUAUUCGGAAGAACACCAGUGGCGAAGGCGGCUAACUGGCCCGGUACUGACGCUGAGGUGCGAAAGCGUGGGGAGCGAACAGGAUUAGAUACCCGUGUAGUCCCUGUCUCUUAUAC
This 301-nucleotide ribosomal RNA is filed under the name uncultured bacterium. RNAcentral describes it as "partial 16S ribosomal RNA". It matches the Rfam family "Bacterial small subunit ribosomal RNA", at positions 509 to 807 of the family's 1533-position model. The record is from RNAcentral.